This is a long non-coding RNA of Juglans regia (Persian walnut), 1020 nucleotides long. RefSeq lists it as uncharacterized. The transcript is spliced from 2 exons. The record is from RefSeq and is a predicted model, not a curated record. Lineage: Eukaryota; Viridiplantae; Streptophyta; Magnoliopsida; Fagales; Juglandaceae.
AUUUUAUUAGCAAAAUCAUAUUUUUUGCCCGCAUUCUCGUUGCUUUCUCUCCCUUUUUCUUCCUCUGUCUUUCUUCCUCUCCGAAGUUUCCAAUUGCCCGAAAUCCCCUUUCUCUUCCUUUCCCUUUCUUCCCGAUUCCCAGAUUCCUUUUCUUCAUCUCCGUUUCCUCUCCCUUUUUUUGGCCAAGUUAUCCAUUCCCUUUGCUGUGAGUCACUAGUUCAUCUUCGUCUGACAAAAUUAAACCUCCAUUAAUUGUUGAAGAAUCAAACCUCUGGUACAUAUGGUCUUGAUUGAUUUCAACUAUCGAAGCCAUCUCAGUUGUCGUUGAAAACGACCUCGGUGGUGGCGAGGCUGCGAACGCAACAUUGUUAUGCCGCAUGGAAUAAACUUGGAAAUUCGCGAGGAGAAUCAUCACAUACACCAUUAGAGUGGGAGUAUGAGAAAAGACCUGCUGAAAUAGCCACACGAACGAAGCAUGCAUCUCUCUCUGAACCCGAGCGAGAAUCCCCUUAUGGAAGGAAGUUGAUUAUGUGAAGCAUUUAUAGAAGAACAAGCAGGAGCUGAAGGUUGAAGAUGCUGGUAUUGUAGCUUUAUUUGGGCUGGAAUGCUUUGCACGGUUUUGUGCUGGGGUGAUUGUGGGAAGGGGAAAUUGUUUUUCUUCAUUUCAUUUUUUUCUGCAAUUCUCCUAUAAUCAAUUUUUCAUCUGUCUAGACUUCUAUGAUUUAAUGUUUUGCUGGUUGCAGGAUCAGGUAAGUUAGCAGAAAAGGUUGCCCCACCAGUUGAAAACGGGAACCAAGAGUAAUUGAACAUAUUGAUGCUUAUGUAGACAUAGAAGGUUUUCUAGUUUACUGCAACACUCAAGUCUUUCAGAUCAAGUGGUUUUCCAUCAACUUGAUGUGUCUGACCUUGUUAGCAUUACUUCUUUCACAGAUUUCAUCAAAACCCAUUUCGAGAAACUGGAUAUCUUGGUAUAUAUGAUUCAAAGCUGAUUUACUUAUCUACUUUUUCAUUCUUCCUGAA